ACAAAGGCUCUUUUAAGAGCCACCUAAAAACUCACUUUAAAAGUGG
RNAcentral lists this non-coding RNA (46 nucleotides) under Marmota monax (woodchuck). It matches the Rfam family "Histone 3' UTR stem-loop". From Rfam's summary of the family: The mRNAs of metazoan histone genes lack a poly-A tail. 3' end processing occurs at a site between a highly conserved stem-loop (modelled by this family) and a purine rich region around 20 nts downstream (the histone downstream element, or HDE). Lineage: Eukaryota; Metazoa; Chordata; Mammalia; Rodentia; Sciuridae. The record is from RNAcentral.